RNAcentral lists this ribosomal RNA (253 nucleotides) under uncultured bacterium. Its description in RNAcentral is "partial 16S ribosomal RNA". It matches the Rfam family "Bacterial small subunit ribosomal RNA", at positions 524 to 776 of the family's 1533-position model. The record is from RNAcentral.
UACGGAGGGUGCAAGCGUUGUUCGGAAUCACUGGGCGUAAAGAGCACGUAGGCGGGUUUGUAAGUCAAUUGUGAAAUCCCCGGACUCAACCCGGGAAUUGCAGUUGAAACUACAAGUCUUGAAUGUCAGAGAGGGUGACGGAAUUCCUGGUGUAGAAGUGAAAUUCGUAGAUAUCAGGAGGAACACCCGAGGCGAAGGCGGUUACCUGGCUGUACAUUGACGCUGAGGUGCGAAAGCGCGGGGAGCAAACAGG